RNAcentral lists this ribosomal RNA (422 nucleotides) under uncultured bacterium. Its description in RNAcentral is "partial 16S ribosomal RNA". It matches the Rfam family "Bacterial small subunit ribosomal RNA", at positions 360 to 774 of the family's 1533-position model. The record is from RNAcentral.
AAUAUUGGACAAUGGGGGCAACCCUGAUCCAGCCAUGCCGCGUGUGUGAAGAAGGUCUNCGGUUUNUNAAGCACUUUAAGUUGGGNGGAAGGGCUGUAGGCUAAUAUCCUGAAGUUUGGACGUUACCAACAGAUUAAGCACCGGCUAACUCUGUGCCAGCAGCCGCGGUAAUACAGAGGGUGCAAGGGUUAAUCGGAAUUACUGGGCGUAAAGCGCGAGUAGGUGGUUAAGUCAGAUGGGUGUGAAAUCCCCGGGCUAAACCUGGGAACAGCUUUAAUAACGGCUGAGCUAGAGUACGGUAGAGGGUAGUGGAAUUUCCUGUGUAGCGGUGAAAUGCGUAGAUAUAGGAAGGAACACCAGUGGCGAAGGCGACUACCUGGACUGAUACUGACACUGAGGUGCGAAAGCGUGGGGAGCAAACA